AGUGAACGCUGGCGGUAGGCCUAACACAUGCAAGUCGAACGGCAGCACAGGAGAGCUUGCUCUCUGGGUGGCGAGUGGCGGACGGGUGAGGAAUACAUCGGAAUCUACCCUGUCGUGGGGGAUAACGUAGGGAAACUUACGCUAAUACCGCAUACGACCUACGGGUGAAAGCAGGGGACCUUCGGGCCUUGCGCGAUUGAAUGAGCCGGUGUCGGAUUAGCUGGUUGGCGGGGUAAAGGCCCACCAAGGCGACGAUCCGUAGCUGUUCUGAGAGGAUGAUCAGCCACCCUGGAACUGAGACACGGUCCAGACUCCUACGGGAGGCAGCAGUGGGGAAUAUUGGACAAUGGGCGCAAGCCUGAUCCAGCCAUACCGCGUGGGUGAAGAAGGCCUUCGAGUUGUAAAGCCCUUUUGUUGGGAAAGAAAUCCAGCUGGCUAAUACCCGGUUGGGAUGACGGUACCCAAAGAAUAAGCACCGGCUAACUUCGUGCCAGCAGCCGCCGUAA
RNAcentral lists this ribosomal RNA (506 nucleotides) under uncultured bacterium. Its description in RNAcentral is "partial 16S ribosomal RNA". It matches the Rfam family "Bacterial small subunit ribosomal RNA", at positions 29 to 523 of the family's 1533-position model. The record is from RNAcentral.